UCACACAGCUUCAGAUGGAGGCCCGUGGGCUACAGAGCCCACCCAGCUCCCUGCCACUGCGUGUGAGUGCAGUUUAGUAUGAGCCUGAGAGUGAGGCCUUUGAAUGAUGCCCUGGACAGAGCUGGGAACGUGAAGGUGAAUACUGUUGUGGGGAGAAUGCAUCCCUUUGCCUGGCUCUGAGCCAGGGCCAGCUUUGGAUCCUGCUAGCCCCAUGGAUAUAGAGUUGUUUGAAUCCGGGAUGCAGAACUAGUGGAUUUGGAGGGCUGGCUGUAUUAUCAUUACAGGGGAAAGCUAUCCCAAGGAAGUAAGAAUGGGGUAAGCCAGGCACGGUGGCUCAUGCCUGUAAUCUCAGCACUUUAGGAGACUGAGGUGGGUGGGUCGCU
Molecule: long non-coding RNA, 383 nt
Filed under: Gorilla gorilla gorilla (western lowland gorilla)
Lineage: Eukaryota; Metazoa; Chordata; Mammalia; Primates; Hominidae
Description: lncRNA (ENSGGOG00000044608.1)
Source: RNAcentral